AUGGAGGCAGCAGUGAGGAAUAUUGCGCAAUGGAGGGAACUCUGACGCAGCAACGCCGCGUGAAGGAUGAAGGUUUUCGGAUUGUAAACUUCUUUGACGGGGGACGAACAAUGACGGUACCCCGAAAACAAGCCACGGCUAACUACGUGCCAGCAGCCGCGGUAAUACGUAGGUGGCGAGCGUUGUCCGGAAUUACUGGGUGUAAAGGGCGUGCAGGCGGGGACUUAAGUCAGAUGUGAAAUACCCAGGCUUAACUUGGGGGCUGCAUCUGAAACUAAGUUUCUUGAGUGCCGGAGAGGAAAGCGGAAUUCCCAGUGUAGCGGUGAAAUGCGUAGAUAUUGGGAGGAACACCAGUGGCGAAGGCGGCUUUCUGGACGAUAACUGACGCUGAGGCGCGAAAGCGUGGGGAGCAAACAGGAUUAGAUACCCUGGUAGU
Molecule: ribosomal RNA, 436 nt
Filed under: uncultured bacterium
Lineage: Bacteria
Description: bacterial SSU rRNA
Rfam family: Bacterial small subunit ribosomal RNA
Source: RNAcentral